UAUUUCGCCCUUGCGCAACUUCGAAAACCGUUUUCAGAAACGAGUAUGCUUUAUCCAUAUAAUUAUGAAACAAAUAAAGGCCUCAACCUCCAAUAGAGAUCAACAAGCAAAUGUUUAUCCAAUCGAUAUGUCUAAAGUGUCACUCCAUAAAAGUAACCAACAAACAGUUCUUUACUACAAAGAACUAUGUAGCCUUGUUUUCU
RNAcentral lists this long non-coding RNA (203 nucleotides) under Lathyrus oleraceus (garden pea). RNAcentral describes it as "Pisum sativum (pea) long non-coding RNA (PSAT_LNC028156)". Lineage: Eukaryota; Viridiplantae; Streptophyta; Magnoliopsida; Fabales; Fabaceae. The record is from RNAcentral.